AACAAACGCUGGCGGCGUGCCUAAUACAUGCAAGUCGAACGGGGAAAGCUUUCGGGUGAGUACUAGUGGCGCACGGGUGAGGAACGCGUGGAUAAUCUGCCUUAGAGUGGGGGAUAACUAGUCGAAAGAUUAGCUAAUACCGCAUAAGACCACGAGAGCUGCGGCUUUUGAGGUCAAAGGUUUUUCGCUCUAAGAUGAGUCCGCGUAAGAUUAGCUAGUUGGUGAGGUAACGGCUCACCAAGGCGACGAUCUUUAACUGGUCUGAGAGGAUGAUCAGUCACACUGAAACAGAGACACGGUCCAGACUCAUACGGGAGGCAGCAGUAGGGAAUAGUGCAAAAUGGAGGAAACUCUGAUGCAGCGACGCCGCGUGAGUGAUGAAGGCCUUCGGGGCGUAAAGCUCUGUCGCAGGGGAAUAACACAAUGAAGGUACCCUGUAAGAAAGGAUCGGCCAACUUCGUG
Molecule: ribosomal RNA, 462 nt
Filed under: uncultured bacterium
Lineage: Bacteria
Description: partial 16S ribosomal RNA
Rfam family: Bacterial small subunit ribosomal RNA
Source: RNAcentral